AGAGUUGAUCAUGGCUCAGGAUGAACGCUGGCGGCGUGCCUAACACAUGCAAGUCGAACGAAGCAGUUAUUACGAUCCCUUCGGGGUGACGAUUUACUGACUGAGUGGCGGACGGGUGAGUAACGCGUGGGUAACCUGCCUUGUACAGGGGGACAACAGUUGGAAACGACUGCUAAUACCGCAUAAGCGCACAGCUUCGCAUGAAGCAGUGUGAAAAAGUUUUUCGGUACAAGAUGGACCCGCGUCUGAUUAGCUAGUUGGUGAGGUAACGGCCCACCAAGGCGACGAUCAGUAGCCGACCUGAGAGGGUGACCGGCCACAUUGGGACUGAGACACGGCCCAAACUCCUACGGGAGGCAGCAGUGGGGAAUAUUGCACAAUGGGCGAAAGCCUGAUGCAAGCGACGCCGCGUGAGCGAAGAAGUAUUUCGGUAUGUAAAGCUCUAUCAGCAGGGAAGAUAAUGACGGUACCUGACUAAGAAGCACCGGCUAAAUACGUGCCAGCCGCCGC
This 510-nucleotide ribosomal RNA is filed under the name uncultured bacterium. RNAcentral's name for it is "bacterial SSU rRNA". It matches the Rfam family "Bacterial small subunit ribosomal RNA", at positions 8 to 518 of the family's 1533-position model. The record is from RNAcentral.